RNAcentral lists this small RNA (4228 nucleotides) under Pongo abelii (Sumatran orangutan). Its description in RNAcentral is "processed transcript". Lineage: Eukaryota; Metazoa; Chordata; Mammalia; Primates; Hominidae. The record is from RNAcentral.
AGCUCAAAGCAUGCCUGUUUUUAAGGAAGUAAAGGUACAUCUGUUAGAAGAUGCAGGCAUAGAGAAGGAUGCUGUUACUCAGGAGACUAGAAUUUCACCCAGUGGAAUUGAUUCAGCUACAACCGUGGCUGCAGCAACUGCUGCUGCCAUUGCAACCGCAGCUCCAUUGAUAAAGGUGCAGAGUGAUUUGGAAGCAAAAGUCAAUUCUGUUACAGAAUUACUUAGUAAGUUACAGGAGACUGACAAACACCUACAACGUGUUACAGAGCAGCAAACAAGCAUUCAGAGGAAACAAGAGAAACUACAUUGUCAUGAUCACGAAAAGCAAAUGAAUGUGUUUAUGGAGCAGCACAUAAGGCAUCUUGAAAAAUUACAGCAACAACAAAUAGAUAUUCAGACUCAUUUUAUUAGUGCUGCACUCAAGACUAGUAGUUUUCAACCUGUUAGUAUGCCCUCCUCCAGAGCAGUGGAAGAGUAUUCUGUAAAACCAGAACACCCUAAUCUUGGUAGCUGUAAUCCAUCUUUAUAUAACACAUUUGCUUCCAAACAAGCACCUUUAAAAGAAGUUGAAGAUACGAGUUUUGAUAAACAGAAAUCUCCUUUGGAGACACCAGCACCUCGCAGAUUUGCUCCUGUACCUGUUUCAAGGGAUGAUGAACUAUCAAAGAGGGAAAAUCUUUUGGAAGAAAAAGAAAAUAUGGAAGUGUCGUGUCACAGAGGAAAUGUAAGACUAUUGGAACAAAUUUUGAAUAAUAAUGAUUCUUUGACAAGAAAAAGUGAAUCAUCAAACACCACCUCACUAACUAGGUCAAAAAUAGGAUGGACUCCUGAGAAAACAAACAGAUUUCCUUCCUGUGAAGAGCUAGAAACAACUAAAGUGACUAUGCGGAAGUCUGAUGAUGUUCUUCAUGACCUUGGCCAAAAGGAGCAGGAAACAAAUAGCAUGGUCCAGCCAAAAGAAUCUCUGAGUAUGUUGAAGCUUCCAGAUCUUCCACAGAAUUCUGUUAAGCUUCAAACAACCAAUACAACAAGAUCUGUAUUGAAAGAUGCUGAGAAGAUUUUGAGAGGAGUACAAAACAAUAAAAAACUACUUGAAGAAAACCUGGAAGCUAUUAUUCGUGCAAAAGAUGGAGCUGCCAUGUAUUCGCUUAUCAAUGCUUUAUCUACCAACAGAGAGAUGUCAGAGAAAAUUAGGAUCAGAAAGACAGUGGAUGAAUGGAUUAAAACUAUUUCUGCAGAAAUUCAGGAUGAACUGUCAAGAACAGAUUAUGAACAAAAAAGAUUUGAUCAGAAGAAUCAGAGAACCAAGAAAGGUCAGAAUAUGACUAAAGAUAUUAGAACCAACACACAAGAUAAAACUGUAAACAAAUCUGUAAUUCCAAGAAAACAUUCUCAAAAGCAAAUAGAAGAGCAUUUUAGAAAUCUACCUAUGAGGGGCAUGCCUGCUUCAAGUUUACAGAAAGAGAGAAAGGAGGGGCUUUUGAAAGCAACCCCAGUAAUACAAGAUGAAGAUUAUAUGUUACAAGUCUAUGGAAAGCCAGUUUAUCAGGGCCAUCGAAGCACUCUUAAAAAAGGACCAUAUCUCAGAUUUAAUUCUCCAUCUCCUAAGUCCAGACCACAGAGACCAAAAGUAAUAGAACGAGUUAAAGGCACUAAGGUAAAGUCAAUAAGAACACAGACUGACUUCUAUGCAACGAAACCUAUGAAGAUGGAUUCUAAAAUGAAACAUUCCAUUCCUGUGUUACCUCAUGGCGAUCAGCAGUAUUUGUUCAGCCCAAGUAGAGAAAUGCCUACAUUUUCAGGUACACUGGAAGGUCAUCUGAUUCCUAUGGCAAUUCUUUUAGGACAAACCCAAAGUAAUAGUGAUACCAUGCCACCUGCUGGAGUGAUUGUCAGCAAGCCACACCCUGUAACUGUGACUACUUCUAUUCCUCCAUCAUCUCGAAAAGUAGAAACUGGAGUAAAGAAACCUAACAUAGCCAUUGUAGAAAUGAAGUCAGAAAAAAAGGAUCCUCCUCAGCUUACUGUACAGGUAUUACCCAGUGUAGAUAUUGACAGCAUUUCAAAUGGUAGCGCUGAUGUCCUUUCACCUCUGUCUAGUCCCAAAGAAGCAUCUCUUCCUCCUGUGCAAACUUGGAUAAAGACUCCAGAAGUUAUGAAGGUAGAUGAAGAAGAGGUGAAGUUUCCAGGAACUAACUUUGAUGAAAUAAUCGAUGUCAUACAGGAAGAGGAAAAAUGUGAUGAAAUUCCAGACUCUGAACCAAUUCUGGAGUUUAACAGAAGUGUUAAAGCUGAUUCUACAAAAUAUAAUGGUCCUCCAUUUCCGCCAGUUGCUUCUACUUUUCAGCCCACUGCCGAUAUUCUGGAUAAAGUAAUUGAGAGAAAAGAAACACUGGAAAAUAGCUUAAUUCAAUGGGUAGAGCAAGAAAUAAUGUCAAGAAUUAUCUCUGGGCUCUUUCCAAUCCAGCAACAGAUUGCACCUAAUAUCAGUGUUUCAGUCAGUGAGACAAGUGAACCACUGACUUCUGACAUUGUGGAAGGAACAAGCAGUGGCGCCCUCCAGCUUUUUGUUGAUGCUGGUGUUCCUGUGAACUCAGACGUGAUUAACCGUUUUGUGAAUGAAGCUCUUGCUGAGACCAUUGCUGUCAUGCUGGGUGACAGAGAAGCAAAGAAGCAAGGUCCUGUUGCUACAGGUGUUUCUGGGGAUGCUUCAACAAAUGAAACAUAUUUGCCGGCAAGAGUGUGCACCCCACUGGCUACCCCACAGCCUACGCCUCCUCGCUCACCUUCACCUACUAAGGAGUGUGUUUUGGUAAAGACUCCAGAUUCUUCUCCCUGUGAUUCGGAUCAUGAUAUGGCUUUUCCUGUGAAAGAAAUAUGUGCUGAAAAAGGAGAUGAUAUGCCUGCCAUCAUGCUUGUUAAUACUCCAACAGUUACCCCUACUACUACACCUCCUCCAGCGGCGGCAGUUUUUACCCCAACUUUGUCAGAUAUUUCCAUUGAUAAAUUGAAGGUAUCAAGCCCAGAGCUUCCCAAACCAUGGGGUGAUGGAGACCUGCCACUGGAAGAAGAGAACCCUAACUCACCUCAAGAAGAACUUCAUCCAAGAGCUAUUGUAAUGUCUGUGGCUAAGGAUGAAGAACCAGAGAGUAUGGAUUUCCCUGCUCAGCCUCCACCUCCAGAGCCAGUUCCCUUUAUGCCAUUUCCUGCCGGCACCAAGGCGCCUUCCCCCUCACAGAUGCCAGGUUCUGAUUCAUCAACACUGGAGAGCACACUGAGUGUUACUGUCACUGAAACUGAAACUUUAGAUAAACCCAUCUCUGAAGGAGAGAUUUUAUUUAGCUGUGGUCAAAAAUUGGCCCCCAAGAUUUUAGAAGAUGUAGGACUGUACCUGACAAACCUUAAUGAUAGCUUAUCCAGCACUCUGCAUGAUGCCGUUGAAAUGGAGGAUGAUCCUCCUAGUGAAGGGCAAGUGAUUAGGAUGUCCCAUAAAAAAUUUCAUGCAGAUGCAAUUCUUUCUUUUGCUAAACAAAACCAGGAGUCUACAGUUUCCCAGCAAGCAGUCUAUCAUUCAGAGGACUUGGAAAACAGUGUGGGUGAACUUAGUGAAGGACAAAGACCCCAGCUAACAGCGGCAGCAGAGAACAUCUUAAUGGGACAUUCUCUCUAUAUGCAGCCAUCUGUCACUAAUGCACAGUCUUUGGAUCAACAAUGUGAUCCUAAACCAUUAUCUCGGCAAUUUGACACAGUUUCAGGUAGUAUUUAUGAAGAUUCAUGUGCUAGUCAUGGUCCAAUGAGUUUGGGAGAAUUGGAGUUGGAGCCAAAUUGUAACCUGGUUCUUCCCUCAACACUUCUGACAGCACAAGAAAAUGAUGUUAAUUUACCAGUAGCCGCUGAAGAUUUUCCGCAGUACCAACAAAAGCAAAAUCAGGAUGUUAAGCAAGUUGAACACAAACCAUCACAAAGUUACCUACAUGUUAGAGAUAAAUCUGAUAUUGCACCUUCACAGCAACAAGUUUUGAUCAGCAGGAUAAAGAACUGUAAGAACCGACAAACUUGAGAAGCAGUUUUCAAGCUGUGUUGACCUAGUUGUAGGCCAUGUUUGCUGUUUUAAUCAUCAACUGCAGAGCACAAUACUCACCCUUCCAGUAAACCCCGUAAAUCAACGAGUGAGAAUUAUGAAGCCACUACUUGUUAUAAGAAUAAAAGUGGUCAACUCUGAUAUUGU